Long non-coding RNA from Chenopodium quinoa (quinoa), 457 nucleotides. RefSeq lists it as uncharacterized. Lineage: Eukaryota; Viridiplantae; Streptophyta; Magnoliopsida; Caryophyllales; Amaranthaceae. The transcript is spliced from 2 exons. The record is from RefSeq and is a predicted model, not a curated record.
AGAAUCUAGAUAAAUUUGGCCCAUUUAUUAAAAGUCCAAUAUGAGGAAAAACCCUAGUUCAUUUCUCAGCCACCAUCACUUCAUUUCACACUCUCUCCUCUCUCUAGCUAUUUCAAUUUUCAAAAUUUAAUCCCUAGAUCUCUCAAAAUCUCAAGUUUAAUCUUUGUUCAUCGGUGUCAUACACUCUCCCAUGGUUAUCUAAGCGAAUUCGAGGAGUUAGAAUAGUGUGGUUUGUGCUUGGAUCCAUCAUUGGAUUAAUCAAAUGGUUUGGAGCUUGUAUUAUUACUUUUGUAUUGUGUAGUGGACUUUUAUAUUAGUUGGUUGUUUGUAUAAGCUUUUAAUUUUAUGGAACUUUUUCGAGGAACUUUUAAUUUGUAAUUUAUAUGUAUUUUUAGCUUUAAUGUGUACUCCUAUUAAUAAUUAUGUGUAUAAUAUUGUGUGUUAUAAAUUAAGAUUA